RNAcentral lists this long non-coding RNA (203 nucleotides) under Lathyrus oleraceus (garden pea). RNAcentral's name for it is "Pisum sativum (pea) long non-coding RNA (PSAT_LNC039325)". The record is from RNAcentral. Lineage: Eukaryota; Viridiplantae; Streptophyta; Magnoliopsida; Fabales; Fabaceae.
GAAGAUACAAGCUCACCACCGCCGCUGAAUCACCGCCAAAGGUGAGCUUUCUUACUAGAUCUUCUUUUGAAACCAUGGUUUUCGCGUUUAGAGCUAGAUUGGGAGUAGUGUAUCGUGAGGUUAGUGUGAGCGAUUGAGAGUGACGAGUGUUUGAGGAUUAGAUUCAGAGUAGGGAAAACGAGGUUGAGAGGCGCGAGUUUGAG